GUCUGUGGCCAUCCCACCCUGAAUGUGCCUGAUCUGGUCUAAUCUCAGAAGCUAAGCAGGGUCAGCCCUGGUUAAUACUUGGAUGGGAGACAAUACUCAUAAGUGAAACAAAUCAGACU
This 119-nucleotide ribosomal RNA is filed under the name Cavia porcellus (domestic guinea pig). Lineage: Eukaryota; Metazoa; Chordata; Mammalia; Rodentia; Caviidae. The record is from RNAcentral.